Sinocyclocheilus rhinocerous is the source of this 1500-nucleotide long non-coding RNA. RefSeq lists it as uncharacterized. The record is from RefSeq and is a predicted model, not a curated record. The transcript is spliced from 3 exons. Lineage: Eukaryota; Metazoa; Chordata; Actinopteri; Cypriniformes; Cyprinidae.
GUUGAGCCUGAUCCAAGCCACACACUGGAGGAACGGGUGGUUCAUUGGUACUUUGCCCAGCUGGAUAAUAAUGGCAGUCACGAUAUCAAUAAGAAGGAGAUGAAGCCCUUCAAGCGCUAUGUAAAGAAGAAAACCAAACCCAAACGAUGUGCCCGCAAGUUCACCGACUACUGCGACCUUAACAAGGACAAGACCAUCUCCCUUCAAGAACUCAAAGGAUGCCUAGGAGUCAAUAAAGAGGGUAGCACUACAAGCAGCAGUCAGGGGACAAGGCAAGGGACAAAUUUGUUCAUAGGUCGUCUGGUCUGAAGACGGAAAGUUCCAGAAGAUGAGGCAGUAGCACAAAGCACAGUGGGAAGGCAUCUGUUCACUGCUGGAAGAGUACAACGAAGGAUUCUGAGAAAUUAUUAAGAGGUUCCUUAAGAAAAAAAAAAGAUGAAAAUGAUAUCAUGGAGCCAAAAUAUUUGCACUUUCUCCUCCCAUUUUUAGACAUUUUAUUAUGUCCUUUGUUUGUGUUGUAAACGUCUUAUUAAUAUGACUAUACUAUGUCCUAUAAUAUGAGAACACAGACUGUAAGUGUGAAUGAUUACUUGCUUCCUUCCACAUUUUUAGCACAUCCACGCUCAAUCCAGACAGUAUUAUAGUUGUGUUUGAAUGAGACAUUUUUGAAUGUCAUUUAAAAAAAAAAACAAGCAUUCUGUUUUGAAAUUAGCUUGUCUUUAAAUGCCUCUUCUUCGGUUUGCUUUUGUUUUUGAUAAUGUCCACUCAACCAGUAUGUUUGCUCCUUUGUUCACCUUGGCAACGGAACUAAUGGAGCAUUGAUAGUGAAAAAGAAAUGGAGCGAAAUCGUUUCUGUCAACAAACAUUAGCUACGGUCUCUCAGACCUGCACCUAAGGACACUAGUAAUGCACACAUAACCAUCGCCUGAGAAUUAGCAGUAAGUUCCACAUGGUUUGUUCAGAAGUCAGAGGUCAAAAACACUAUCACGCAAAAUUAGUAUGGUAAAUGUCACGAAACACUUAGCUUUACUAUCUUCAAAUGGAUUAUUCAGUAAGUACAUGGUGUGUCUCACAUAGUGUUCUGUUGUUGUUGUUGCUGUUGUUUUUUCGUAAUGCCUUUAUCAAAUCUUGAACCUUCAAAUGACAAAUAGUACAGUAAAAAUGGGUGUUGUAAGUGCUGUAGACUGAUGUGUGCAUAGAACUAAUCUAAUUUAGAAGUGCUUUUCAUAAGAAAUACUUCUUUCCAUACAUCAAUUCUUCCCGAGCUGGGUAUUUGCAUACACUUUUUGGACAUGUACUAUGGUAUUCUUUGAGGUACCUGGGAGUGACAUGUAAAUAGCAUGGUAAUCAUUCAGUGCCACUGUAUUUUACCAUGGUAUUACCACAAUGAUGUUGUUGUUGUUGUUUUUUUGUAGGAUUCAGUUUUCUUCUCUGGGUAGAAAAGGAUUGUAUAAAUCAGAAGGUUUGUGUAGGUCUUACAAUAAUUCAGUGUAAAAAAAA